This is a long non-coding RNA of Amphiprion ocellaris (clown anemonefish), 12205 nucleotides long. RefSeq lists it as uncharacterized. The record is from RefSeq and is a predicted model, not a curated record. NCBI's taxonomy places the organism in Eukaryota, Metazoa, Chordata, Actinopteri, Pomacentridae. The transcript is spliced from 2 exons.
CCUGUCUGCACAGCCGAAGGAGAGGCAGGCCGACACGGAAGACAAAAGGGCGAGAGACACCGAGAGACAGUGGGGGAGAGAGGGGAGGCAGAGUGUGAAGUUCAACUUUAGAGUGUGACACUGAGGAGCGUCAAGAAAGUGAGACUGAGAGAAGGAGUAAAAAGUGUUGUCAGUCUUCCCCAGAGAAGACUUUCUGCAACCUGUUGAUCAGGACAGAGGAGCCCAGUAGAGUCCGCCUGCUGUUCUAAUGUACUGUGAUGUUGGAAUAUUGCCUGUUGUGAGCUCUGCCACUGUGGACCGGCUCCAUUACAAAGGUCAGAUGUAAAUAGUUCCUUUAAACAGGAUGGCUUCGUUUCUGCCUGUCUUUCUGCCUGCCUGUUGAUCCAGAGAUUAUAUCACCGCCCGUCUGAGUGAUUUACUGCGUAAUUACUUGGCCUCUACCUGUUUGACUGCUUUCUUUUGCAACCGUCUGCUUCCAGUGUGUAUGUCAUCUGUCUGUCUACACGUCCGUCAGUCUGUGGGGUGUCGCUGGCAGCUCAGAGUGCAAACACAGGUCAUAAAAAGCCGUAGAAAAGCAGCCGAGAGGCGUAAUGGUAGUGCUGAACGAGGCCGGAGCCGCUCAAACAUUCCUCUCAUUGUUCAGAGGCCCUGUAAGUCUGCGAGCUCCCAAACCUCCAUGAAAGGAAGGGAAUCCAGCGGCUACUGUAGCUAACCCAGUUAGAGCUACAGAUCAGGGCCGGCUGUCUCUGCCUUCCUGCUCAACACCAAUCUGGGCAGCUGAAGGCAGAAAACUGGAGGUGGAGGAGGUUCGGCUCAGAGAAGGGGCAAGACAAGUUAAUUUAACCCAACAGGAUCCGACUGAUAACCUUUAAACCAAAGGACAUGGGAAAGAGAAGGCGGAGGUCAGAGGUGUUGUUAUUUUGCCUUCUACAGUGACUGGGGAUGGAUGGAUGGAUGGAUGGAUGGAUGGAGGAGAGAAGGUGGGGAUCCAGAGCUCUUGGCUUUGGUGGCUGGUUGAGUGGGUGGGUGUGCCCAGCAGAAGUCUGCAGGAUUGGGCCUGGGCUCAGGAAACCGUGGCGUAGUGGAAUAAAAGUGUGUGCGUACGGUUUCGGCAUCCAUUUGUGCAUGUGUGGUUCGGUGGCAGCGGGGCAGCUGUACACUAAGUACAGGGCUGGUGGUGGUGAGGGUGUUUGGCAGUGAAUCAGGCUGAGGAUAGAGUUACACGCAUCGGGCUACAGGGAGUGGACCAUGGGCUUGGGCUGGGCUCCGCUCUGCUGAGGCUAGCUUUACAGCCCAGAGAGACUUUGAGCUUUUCUCUUUUUUCUGAAUCCGCUCUGGAAAUACUUUUUAUUCUCAGACUAAUGUCCCACAUGUGGCGCGUUCCAUUGAUUCCAGGCCAGCCAAUGAACGGCCGCCUUUAAUUCAGGAAAACUGCAACAGAAGAAGGCCCAUAGUAGAGCCCGAGUUCUCAUUUGAAUGUCACUGAAUGUCACGGCCUUGGCAGUAAUUACGCCCUCACACACAACACGAAACAAACGCAUUCUUGCUCACACACACACACACACACACACACACACACACACACUCUGUUGUGUGGCAACUUGGUCAAGGUGUGGAACUGCAGAAGGUGUGUAGGAUCAGAUGGUGUUUUGCAAUUUCACUGCAGGUUUAGAACAGAUCUCAGAAGCAUUUUUCCAAGAGGUUUGUUAUUUUAGCCUUUACGGUCAGAUUGAUGAUUGGGAAUCCUGUUUUGACUGUUUAAAUUGUUGAGUAAAUCCACAUUUUCUGCUGUGUCAGGUGUGAUUGCGGCGGGCGCCCGUCUCCCAGUGUUUUCGGACUCAGGUGUUCGUGUACUUUUCCACGUUUUAUUCCACUGUGAGCCCACACAGAGAGGCGUAAUGGAUACGACAGCAAUUACGAAAAGCAAACCCGGCAUAUUUACACUUUCAGUAGAGAAUUCAGACGUAUUUGUGGCCCUUCAACUCCAGUGUUGACACAGCGUCUUGAAUUAUUAGACUUUAAACACACUGAUUUCUCACGGGCUGGAAAAAAACUGCACCUUCUGUAAAAUUCUGUGAUGCAGUGGAAAGAUACCAAAAUAACUCCACUUCAAUACAUAGUACACCACCAUUGAAAAGGUUGGGGUCAUCCAGACAAUUCCAUGUUUUCCAUUAAAACUUCCACUUUUAUCCAUGUGCUAACAUAACUGCACAAGGGUUUUCUAAUCAUCAGUGAGCCUUUCAACUGUCGAGACUGUACUUCUGAUCCAUUUAGUGUUAUCUUUAUUGAAAAAAACUGCUUUUCUUUAAAAAAAUACGGACAUUUCUAAGUGAACCCAAACUUUUGAACGAUAGUGGACAUGAAUUAAAGUUGCUCUACAUUAGUUUAAGCUGUUCAAAAAUUAGUUAAAGUUGCUUUCCAACAGUUAAAGUUGCUCUAUAUUAUUUAAAAUUGCUCUAAAUGAGUUAAAGUUGACCUACACUAGAACAAUGUCUAGACUGUAUUUAUGAUUCAUUUAAUGUUAUCUUCAUUGAAAAAAACUGCUUUUCUUUCAAAAAUAAGGACAUUUCUGAGUGACCCUAAACUUGUGAAUGGUAGUGUAGAUAAAUUAUAAUUGCUCUAUACUAGCUAAACUUGCUCUAUAUGAAUUAAAGUUGCUCUACUUUAGUUAAAGUUGCUCUGCAUUAGUUACUUUUGAACGGUAGUGUAGUUCUUAAUGAAGUGCACAAUGGCAGCCGGCGGAGCGUCCAGUGAGGCGGUUCACAGCCCAGAGGUGUGAAUGAUGUCACUUUGGUAUGUAUUUGUACUAUUCCUGUUUUAUGAGACGGUGAAAAACCCAGCUAACGUUCAUGCCAUGUUCACCCAGCAGCCCACUGGCAUAACUGUUUAUUGAUAGUGAGCAUAUUGUGUGUGGAGAAGGUGGAUCAUGUGUGCACUGCUGUGUGUGUGUGUGUGUGUGUGUGUGUGUGUGUGUGUGUGUGUGUGUGUGUGUGUGUGUGUGUGUGUGUGUGUGUGUGUGUGUGUGUGUGUGUGUGUGUGAGCACACAAGGGCAUAGGGAGAGAGAAGAUAUGUGUUGAAACAACAAGGGCUUGAGAUCCAGCUGUCUCAACAGAGGCUUUUCCACUUAACUGUGUGCCCUUGUAUAAACGGCAAUGUCAAUUCUGAACUCCAGCUGAAGGGGAGAGAAAGCAGCCAGUGGCCACGUCCACACAUGGACCUCCAUGUGCAUGAACGUAUACACAGCAGAACACACACAUAGUGUACACUGUACACCAUUUAACAACCCGCACACAAGGCCGGGGCUCAUGAAGACGCUCCCUGAAAACAUUCUGAGUACAUCUGCUGGCGAUCGGCGCUCGGUGAUACUAAUUUUCCGACUCUACGCCUCGUCAGGAUGCAACAUGUUGGCACAGUCGUGAGCAACCAAUAAGCCUGCAUGCCAGAACCGUAUGAUUAUUUCUAACCAUAAUAAACAUCCAAUUUGAGGAGAGCGUAACAACAGGAUCGCCUGUCUCCUCAGUCAAAGUAAAAACAGGCCAAAUGCAACAGAAAAAAAAGCAGGGAGAUGUGUUGAGAUCCUCACAGCGGCGAGUGUUUGAGGUGAGGUAUUGGACGGCCUGUGUCAACCAGAAUGCCGUCAUUACAGGGGAAGGGAAGGAAUGAGCUCAUAGACAUUAACGGCUGUGGGUUCGACUGGGGGAACGCGAAGGGGAAGAGAGAAACCGAUGGAAAAGAUGAAAAGGCAGAGAAAAUAACACACAAGAUGAGCCAGUGCCAGAUGAAAGGGUGGCGGGAUCGAGGGUUUUAGGUUGAUGGGGGAGAGGAGCUAAAGGGGAGUUAGCGUGAUGUCUUUGAUGGCUGCUGCAGACCUUAAAUGACCUUUUUUUUUUUUUUUGCUUCUUGAAGCAUCUUGUUGUGACUGUGUAGAGACAGAGUGACAAGCGGAAUUCAAGAAGAUUACAGCUAAAAUCCAGGAAAAAAAUACCACCGUUCAAAUGUUUAGGGUCACUCAGAAAUGUCCUUAUUGUUGAAAGAAAAGCAGUUUUUUCAAUGAAGAUAACAUAAAAUGAAUGAUAAAUCCAGUGUAGACAUUGUUAAUGUGGUAAAUGACUAUUGUAGCUGGAAACAGCUGAUUUUUAAUGGAAUAUCUCCAUAGGGGUACAGAGGAACAUUUCCAGCAACCAUCACUCCUGUGUUCUAAUGCUACAUUGUGUUAGCUAAUGGUGUUGAAAGGCUCAUUGAUGAUUAGAAAACCCUUGUGCAGUUAUGUUAGCACAUGGAUAAAAGUGAGAGUUUUCAUGGAAAACAUGAAAUUGUCCCGGUGAUCCCAGACUUUUGAACAGUGGUGUACGUGCAAACUUUAUGUAGAUAUUUUUAAAUUACACAAAUCUAGCCGAGGCUUCAGAAAUGCUUUUGAUCUGUAGCAGAAUGUAACAAAAAAAAGAAAAAAAGGACCAUGUUUUCCUCCCAGUAGCGCUAAAAUCACGUGUUCUGAGGCGGUUCUAAUUCGGUGUCAUCAGUUGAUUGGACCACAGAUGGAGAGAGAGAACAUUGGCCUGGAGAAAACUGCACGUUUUUUACAUUUUCUGUGUUUUUCACAGCUGAGUUUUUAGAGGUUUUUGUGCUUUUUUUCGGAAGCUCUUUCCAAACUGCAGUGGUUUGUGACAACAAUGAUGCAGCGUUGGCGAUAGCGCCUGAGUUCACCUUGUCCCUGGCACUGAUCUCCAGCAGGCCCACGGUGACAACAGGCAGCCGGAGAACACUUAUUUAGAGUCUGGAGUUCCCCAAAAGCGUCCCACUGACUCAUACCUUGUACACGGCGGAAUAUUCAUGCAGCUAAAUAUAAAAACAACUCAAGGAGAGGACGUCAAAGUAGCCUUCCGAAGCUCAUUCAGUUAUCUAAAUGUGUCCCAUCCAGACAAGUGAAGUCCAACAAGGAGGAAUUUGGACGUAUAUGUUGGAUUUUACAGUAUGUUUACACAACAUGAGAACUCUUCACAGUUUCUUGAGAGACUUAGAAGCGAGAGGAAACACAGCCUAGUGCUCUCAGGUCUUUUUUUUUUUUUUUUUAAAGCCUUCUUAUAUAAAGUGCAUUUUUAGGCAUCUUUUUUAAUCAGGGAGGACGUUCUUUAAUGCAUAAGACCCCAAAAUAUGAAAAUUUCUCAAUAUAAAAUGCAUUUGUAGGCAUCUUUUUUAUUCACCGGGGACCUUUUUUCAUGCACAAGACCCUAAAACAUGAAAUAUUCUUAUAUAAAGGGCAUUUUUAGGCACCUUUUUUUAACCACUGAGGACGUUCUUUAAUACAUAUAACCUCAAAAUAUGAAACUUUCCUAAUAUAAAUUGCAUUUGUAAGCAUCUGUUUUAUCAGUUAGAACCUCCUUUAAUACAUGAGACCCCAACAUAUGAAAUUUAUUCAAUAUAAAAUGCUUUUGUAGGAACCUUUUUCAAUCAGUGAGGACGUUUUUUAAUGCAUAAGACCAUAAAACAUGAAACAUUCUUAUGUAAGUUUGAUAUUUAGUCAGGUUUUUUUAACCACUGAGGACCUUCUUUGAUGCAUAAGACCUCAAAAUAAAAAAAAUUCAAUAUAAAGUGUAUUUGUAGGCACCUUUUUAAUGCACAAGACCCUAAAACACAAAACAUUCUUAUAUGAAGUACAUUUUUAGACAACUUUAUAAACCACAGGACGUUUUUUCAUACAUGAGAUGCCAAAAAAUGUAAUUUUCUCGAUAUAAAUAGUGUUUGUAAGCACCUUUUUUAAUCAGUUAGGAUGCUCUUUAGUGCAUAAGACCCUAAAACACGAAGCAUUCUCAUAUAAAGUGCAUUUGUAAGCAUCUGUUUUUAUGAGGGAAGACCUUCUUUAGUACCUGAAACUCCAAAAUAUGGAACUUUCUCAAUCUAAAUUGCAUUUGUAAGCUUGUGGCAGUAAGAAAUACAGUAUGUUUACACAACAUGAGAACUCCUCACAGUUUCUUUGGAGAUUUAGCAGCGAGAGGAAACACAGCCCGGUGCUCUCAGGUCUUUUUUUAAUUUAUUUUUUUUCCACACAAGGGGCACAGAUAAAGAGGCAGAACAGAGCAGGUCAAACGUCUUUAAAGGGAGUGCCACUCGACUGGCCACUUCCUCCUAACCCAAUUCUCCAUUCUGUCAUUGAAAAGCUAUUUUUAUAAGAGGCCACGGGAAGUCUGGGAGCUGACAAGAGGCGAGCGUGUUCAGCACAAACAAGCAAACGGUACAGAUGUGAGGACGGCGUGAGGUGGAGGUCCGAGUGUCAGCCGGGUCUCUGAAGCUUCUCUGUCGGCCAGGGGAAUUCCUGGCAGAGUGAUUUUUGAGACUACAGGACUGAAUCACAUUGCCAGGGAUUUCCAAUGGCUGACACGAAAGAAAGCGGCAUUAUUUCUCACCAGUCUGCUCACUCAGACGUCUCAUUUGCGUAUCCACACACAAACUGUCUCCACCAGAUGCUCGCUCUGAACCCGGCUGUGCGGCAGCAGGACUUAACCCACAUGUGAACAGUGAGUGUGUUCCAUGUUCACAGUGGUUAAGUUCUGCCGCCACAGGGCUGCAGCCUGCGGGGGGGCAGUAAAGGUCAGGGAGGGGCCGCACUGCGUCAAAACCACCUCCCCAACAUCAUCACCAGACUUCAGAUGACCACGACAAGCUGCACCACUGCUUCCUGUGUACGAGUCACAUCCUCAAAAACCCCCAAAAUAUGAAACACGCACGAAAUAAAAUGCAUUUGUAAGUUCAUGGCCUCAUUCAAUACAUGAGAGCCCAAAAUAUGAAACUUUCUCACCAUAAAAUGCUUCUAUAAGUACCUUUUUAAAUGCAUAAGACCCUAAAACAGGAAACAUCCUUAUAUGCGAUGCAUUUAUAAGCAUUUAUUUUUAUGAGUGAUGCACGAGACACCAAAAUAUGAAACUUUCUCAAUAUAAAUUGCAUUUGUAAGUGUGUCGCCUCUUUUAAUACACAAGUCCCCAGAAUAUGAAACUUUUUCAGCAUAAAGUGUAUUUGUAGGCACCUUUUUUAAUCAGUUAGGAUGUUCUUAUUACGAGACCCCAAAAUAUGAAACCUAGUAAUAUAAAGUGCUUUUUAAAGCACCCGUUUUAUAAGUGAGGACCUUCUUUAAUACAUGAGAGCCCACAAUAUGAAGCAUUAUCAAUAUAAAUUGCAUCUGUAGAUACCUUUUUUAAUCACUGAGGACCUUUUUUCAUGCACAAGACUGUAAAAUAUAAAGCAUUCCUGUAUAAACUGCAUUUUUAGGCACCUUUUUUAACCACUGCGGACAUCCUUUAAUUCAUAAUACCCCAAAAUAUGAAACCUACUCAAUAUAAAGGUCUUUUUAAAGCACUUGUUUUAAUCAGUGAGAACCUUGUUUAAUGCAUAAGAACCCAAAAUACGAAACUUUCCCAAUAUAAAAUGCAUUUGCAGGCACCUUUUUUAAUCAGUUAGAACCUUCUUUAAUGUGUAUGACCCCAAAAUAUGAAACCUACUCAAUAUAAAGUGCUUUUUAAAGUGCCUGUUUUCUAAAUACGGACCUUCUUAAUACAUGAAACCCCCCCAAAUUGAAACUUUCUCAAUAUAAAUUGCAUUUUUAGGCACAUUUUUUAACCACUGAGUAUGUUUUUUAGUACGCGACUCCAAAAUUUUUACUUUCUCGAUAUAAAAUGCAUUUUUAAGCACCUUUUUCAAUCACUGAGAACCUUCUGUAAAGCAUAAGACCCUAAAACACAAAUAUUCUUAAUAUAAAUUGCUUUUGUAGGCACCUGUUUUAUUCACAGAGGACCUUCUUUAAUGCAUAACACCCUAAAAUAUGAAAGGUUCUUAUAUAAACUGCAUUUUUGACAUUUUUUUUAAUCACCAAGGACCCUCUUUAAUACGAGACCCCCCAAAAUAUGAAACUUUCUUAAUGUUAAUUGCAUUUGUAGGCACCUUUUUUAACCACUGACAAUGUUCUUUAAUGCUUGAGAUCCCAAAUUUGAAGCUUUCUCAAUAUAAAGUGCAUUUGUAAGCAUCUAUUUUUAUCAGUGAGGACCUUCUUUAAUAAAUGAGGCAAGCAGAAAUGCAGAUUUUAUAGAUGAUCCUUCUUUCUGAGUGGAAAAUUAGUGCCAUCAUUUAUUUCUUUUUUUUGAUUCACAUAACUGUAGCAGAUGGAAAUUUGGCAAUUUUGUGCUGAACUUGAACGGAAACCCAGCUGACGUGAAAACUGCGUGUCAGAAAGUGCUCUAAUGUCGGUAAUUUGUGACCGGAAUAGAAUAGAAACACUUUAUGUGAUGCCCGGGGGAAAAUUCUGCUGUUAGAGUAGCAAGAAGAAAGAGUGAAAUAUAUAAAAAAUAUAAAAGAAAGUGUCAGAUACAAAUAUUACAUCAGGCUGUUCCGGACUUGGUUUUUAUGGACCGACUGAGCUUGACCUCUCACCUGAUCACCUGAAAGCAUGUGAGGUUUUUUUUUAUGGGAUGCAGGUAUAUCAUAGCUGCUAAUCUGCUGAAUUAGCUUUAGUGCGGUAAAUGUCAGCUGUCUCAUUAGUGCUGGAGGCUGCUGCUGCUCCUGUAGGGCGACCGAUGGGUCGUCUUCAAGGAAAGAAAUAUUUUGUUUGCACCUCCAGCUGUUGGUUUUCUGCAUGAAGCAUGGCAGUGUGUUUGUGUUUGUGUGUCUGCUGUAUGUCUGUCCAUAUGUCUGUGUGUCUGUGUGUUUGUGUCUGCUAUGUCUGUGUGUGUGUCUGUGUGUUUGUCUGUGUGUUUGUGUGUCUGUGUGUUUGUGUAGUGGCCUCUGUCCUCAGCCCCUGCUGGGUCGGUCUCCUGUGCCUGCUGUGCUGAUAAUCAGUGUGUGACGUCGGCUGGCUCAGUUCAGCAGGAACAGGGGACUGCUCUCAUUUCCACACAAACACACACUUUCACAUAAUGACAGUAUUAUUAAGAUGCUUUUUUCCUGCACUUUAAAUCUACAUCGUUCACAAACCAAGCAAUGAAUAAAUGUAAAAAACAUGAACAUCUUGUUGCAAUAAAUUCAGUGUUUUUGUGUUGUUGCCGAGCUGCUGCAGCUUCAUGUAUAAAUUCAGCAUCUUCUGUUAAAUGUGGUUCAAUGAAUUAAAAAUUGCAUUGCUCUCAGAAAAAUCAGCAUCUGUGUCCUGUGUUGUGUCCCAUCAUUGCUUCACCUCUAGAAAAGAAAAGCACUCAGAGAGCACAGUCCUCCUCCAAGGCUGCUCAUUCCAACAUAUGGCAUUGUCAGAAAUGCAUCAUAUUUUUUUAAAUGCAUCAUUUUUUUAUUAGUUAUUGAUGAUCAGAAAUCACGGCACUGUAGAACGUGUCCAUUUAAUAUAGAUGUACCCACAAACUAAAUGACCUUGUGCUGAGCACAGGCGUGUGUUAUGCAUGUGCACGUUAUGUACGGAUACUGAAUCACAUGACCUAAAUAUGUAGCGGGUGGCGGGAAUUGAUGGGACUCAGAAACACCCCCACAAUUUAAUCAAUUGUUCCUUGUAUCAUUUCCGACAGAUAAGUCCUGAUAAGUCCUCAGUGGUGGAUUUGUAGUAGGAUCACAAUCAUGUGAUCAUCAGCAGGCAGCUGACGUAGUGUUCACUUGUUGUCAUGGUUACAGUGAUGCUGUGCUGCUAUCUCGGAAUGAUCCAGAAAUCUUUAACAAAUCUGUGGAUCCAGACUAUAAGCUGCAUCACUGCCAAAAUCUAAUCACUUGGUCCUUGUGUCAUUUCUGACCUUCCCUGAAAAUUUCAUCCAUAUUCAGACAGACAAACCAACACCGAUCAUCACAUAACUCUGCUGUGUUCCUUGGCGGAGUAAAAACACAGUCAUUUAUACUGUAAAAUUCCUGCAGCUGUGGUCACCAGAACACUAUCGUAAAAUUACGGAAAAGAAAUGUAUUGAUACUGUUGAUUUUACAGUGAAAAAAAAGUUUUAAUCUUUAAAAAAAUAUUUAAUUUUACUUGAAAAUGUACACGUAAAUACCAUACAAAAUUAAGUUUGUGUGACCUAUUAUAUAAUAUAUGACAUAUUACAUAUAUAUUAUAUUAUAUUAUAAUAUUACAGCAUUUUUUCAUUAUCAGCACAGCAGAAGUGAAUUUAACAUUUAAUCUACAACACCAUUCAAAAGGUUGGGGUCAAAACUCCCACUUUUAUCCAUGUGCUAACAUAACUGCACAAGGGUUUUCUAAUCAUCAAUGAGCCUUUCAACACCAUUAGCUAACACAAUGUAGCAUUAGAACACAGGAGUGAUGGUUGCUGGAAAUGUUCCUCUGUACCUCUAUGGAGAUAUUCCAUUAAAAAUCAGCUGUUUCCAGCUAGAAUAGUCAUUUACCACAUUAACAAUGUCUACACUGGAUUUAUCAUUCAUUUAAUGUUAUCUUCAUUUAAAAAAACUGCUUUUCUUUCAAAAGUAAGUAUAUUUCUAAGUGACCCUAACAUUUGAAUGCGUGUACGUGUUUUCAGGAUGUCAUAAAUGCAAAAAUUGUGGUUAUAGCUGUCUCUGUUUUUGAGUAAUGAUGCUAACAGACAAACAGACGGACAAACCAACGCCUAUCGUCACAUAACUCUGCAAAAGAACUCAUUAUCGUGUCAUAAAUCUCACAAAUGCAGUGUUCACCCUUUACCUCUUUGUUCCCUCCAUCACCUUGUUUGUCUGCUGAUCUGUUGAGGUUAGAAACAGGAAAUAAAAGACGCCACAGACGGGUGAGAAAAAAGCUGCAGGUUGAAAAUUACAAAAGGAGAUUUCUUCACUUUCAUUUUUACCUAAGUUAAAGUCUGCAGGUGGGAAACUGAGUUGUUGGGUCAUUUAGGAAGUUCUGCAGCUUAAAUCAGAUUUCUGUACAGUUACACAACGUUAACCUUUUACUUCCUAUGUGAGAAGACAUUUCCACACAUUUACGUGGCUGAAAGUCUUUGAGCCGUUCUGUAGACUACAAAGAAGAACGUCAAGAAAACCGACAGACGUAACGAGCUUUCGGUUUCAUGGUGGUGCUAAUAAAAAAAAAAGAAUGAAAACACAGCGUUGUGGUGCUAGCUGGCAGGAAAAGAGGAUUCAAAGCCAAACUCGCAAUAAAAUAUGUCAAGCAGGAGACAAAAGAAGAUAAUAUAUAUGUACUAUAGAUCAGACAGGUUUAAAUUUGCCUCAUUUUGAAUGCAUGUUUAUUUUUCACAGACUUAUUUAACCCUGUAAGAAAUAAAAUCAGAGUUACAAGUGAAAAGCUUUUUCUAAGGAGAAAAAUAUGUCCUAAAAAAUCUAAACAUAAAAAUCUGUCCUAAAAAAAUAAAUAGAAGUAGAAAAAUCUGUCCUAAAAACAUAAACAUACAUAGAAAAAUAUUUCCAAAAAAUACAAAUAUAAGCAGGAAAAUGUCCAAAAAAUAAUUAACAUAAAAAUAUGAGCUAAAAACAUAAAUAUAAAUAAAAAAUGUCCUAAAAAUAUGAACACAAAUAGAAAAAUGUUGUCAUUUUUUGAACCACAUUGUCACCAAAUUCACCUCUUCUCUAUAAAAUCUGAUAGUUUUACUGCCAUGAAGACAUUCUGCACAUAAUAAACUAUCAUUUAAUCUAAAGAGAAGCUAUAAAAUGCGACUUUCUGUGCAUCAAAGUGUGUUUACCAGACAAAGUCCAGGUUGUAUUUGGUGAAUUUUAACUGGUCCAUGUUUGUUUUUGUUUUCAACUAUCUUUAAUCCACAUAUUUUAUUCUAAAAUUCAUUAAAAUACUGAGUUGCCAAGAAAGUAAAAGUUCAUGAAACCUGCAAGUACAGGCGAAAAAUAUCAGAAAUAAAACUAUAACACAGCCUGUUUACAUGUAAAGUCAAUUUUCCAAGUUUGUUUUUGUGCAUUUUUUAACUGAAGUUGACUUUUAGUUGUUUUGGGUUUUUUUUUUUCAGUUUUCUGAGAAAUCUGAGGUUUUUGUAUUAAUUUUAACUUUAAAAUGAUCUGUAACCAUUUUGAGAUUGGAACGUGUGGAAAUGUGGCUAAAUGUGACAGGAAAUAAAUAAUUCAAACCGAUGAUAAACUGCACAUUAAUGCAUGAACGAUGAUAAUCUAAAGUCAUCAUUUAUUUCAGAGAAGCAGAACGAUGAUCACUGACGAGGAUCUAAAGCUAAACAACCGCAUGAAAGCUGGAACUAAUUCUUCAUUUUGGGGUCGAAAGAAACAUAACCGCUGCUAUCUGUCUUAUUUUAUAAAUUAUGUUUGUGUUUUUCUGUCAAUAAAGUGUGCACUUUA